AUUUAAAUAGUUUAAUUAAAAUUUUGAUUUGUGGGAUCAAGGAUGUAUUGUUAUUACUUUAAAUA
RNAcentral lists this transfer RNA (65 nucleotides) under Andrena nitida. RNAcentral's name for it is "tRNA-His". The record is from RNAcentral. Lineage: Eukaryota; Metazoa; Arthropoda; Insecta; Hymenoptera; Andrenidae.